This 500-nucleotide ribosomal RNA is filed under the name uncultured bacterium. RNAcentral describes it as "partial 16S ribosomal RNA". It matches the Rfam family "Bacterial small subunit ribosomal RNA", at positions 28 to 507 of the family's 1533-position model. The record is from RNAcentral.
GACGAACGCUGGCGGCGUGCUUAACACAUGCAAGUCGAACGGGUCUGCCCUGUUUUUUGCGGGGUGGGUCAGUGGCGACCGGGUGAGUAACACGUGAGUAACCUGCCCCUCACUUCUGGAUAACCGCUUGAAAGGGUGGCUAAUACGGGGUGUUCUGGCUGUGCCGCAUGGUGUGGCUGGGAAAGAUUCACUUUUGUGGUGUUUUGGUGGGGGAUGGGCUCGCGGCCUAUCAGCUUGUUGGGGGGGUGAUGGCCUGCCAAGGCUUUGACGGGUAGCCGGCCUGAGAGGGUGGGGGGUCACACGGGGACUGAGAUACGGCCCAGACUCCUGCGGGAGGCAGCAGUGGGGGGUAUUGCACAAUGGGCGGAAGCCUGAUGCAGCGACGUCGCGUGAGGGAUGGAGGCCUUCGGGUUGUGAACCUCUUUCGCCGGUGAAGAAGGUCCUGCUCUUUGUGGUGGGGUUGACGGUAGCCGGGUUAUGAAGCGCCGGCUAACUACGUG